UAAGGAAUAUUGCUCAGUGGGAGAAAUCCUGAAGCAGCAACGCCGCGUGGAGGAUGAAGGGUCUAUGACUUGUAAACUCCUGUAAAGAAGGAAAAAAUUCCCAUUUGAUGGGAGAUGAUGGUACUUCUGGAGUAAGCCCCGGCUAACUACGUGCCAGCAGCCGCGGUAAUACGUAGGGGGCAAGCGUUGUCCGGAUUUACUGGGUGUAAAGGGUGCUCAGGCGGAUUUGUAAGUCAGAGGUGAAAUCUUACAGCUUAACUGUGAAACUGCCUUUGAUACUGCAAGCCUAGAGUAUGGAAGAGAGUGAUGGAAUAUCUGGUGUAGCAGUGAAAUGCGUAGAUAUCAGAUAGAACACCAAUGGCGAAGGCAGUCACUUGGUCCAUUACUGACGCUAAAGCACGAAAGCGUGGGUAGCAAACA
Molecule: ribosomal RNA, 420 nt
Filed under: uncultured bacterium
Lineage: Bacteria
Description: bacterial SSU rRNA
Rfam family: Bacterial small subunit ribosomal RNA
Source: RNAcentral